This 24-nucleotide non-coding RNA is filed under the name Rattus norvegicus (Norway rat). The record is from RNAcentral. Lineage: Eukaryota; Metazoa; Chordata; Mammalia; Rodentia; Muridae.
UACUUGUGGGUGAUCUUUAGGAGC